Long non-coding RNA from Nicotiana tabacum (common tobacco), 902 nucleotides. RefSeq lists it as uncharacterized. Lineage: Eukaryota; Viridiplantae; Streptophyta; Magnoliopsida; Solanales; Solanaceae. The record is from RefSeq and is a predicted model, not a curated record.
AUUUUAUGAGCCCGCUAUUUUAAGCAUAAAACACAUGCUAAAUUCAGGUACAUGAAUAAUGAUGAACAAAAUGCAACAGUACAUGAAUCAUGAUGAGCAAAAUAUAACAGUAUACUCCGCACUCUGUCUAAAACCACAUAUAGUUAAACUAUAUAUUUUCUCUCUACUUGGAAUAGAUUCCACAUUCAUGCAAUGGAUGCCUACGUAUAAGAAGAGAAGUUAAGCAAAAAGUAGGUUCAUAUCUCUCUCCUUCAAUCUCGAUUUAUUAAAACAUGGACUUGCAAGCACCUUAAGGUUAAAGAUAAAGUAGGCGACAGGAACAGGUAAAAGACACUUGUUAGUAUACAACCAACUUUACCAACCAGCCUGCAUAUUGACAAAUAUAGCAUCUCAAAAUUUUGUCAGUUUGUGUAUCAAUCCAAGGAGAAUAUAAUCAUAUUUACUCUAAGACCUUAAGAAAUGUGCUAAAUUGAUCAUCACUGUCACACUUGUCCUCAGCUGAUUCUUUCUCAGAAAUACAGAUGCCGAUUAGAGUCAUGAUAAAUUGUGAAUUGGAGCCAUGGCAACUCAAAAACAGAAUCAACUCACUAAAAGCACAUGCUCUACAAAAACUAUCAACCAAAGCAAAAGCAACGGCAAAAACACUUUAGGGUGCAUGUCACCUAAAGAGUAGCAAGAUUUUCUUCAGAGUUCAAAAAGAACAAAUACGUCUCUCGCUUUGAAGGAUAGCAAUACCUCUUUUAAUCUGGCGAUGAUAAGUAUUGACAUGAAAAGUGGAGCAUCUCUAUCUUGAGGGGGGAAAAGACUGAAUCUCAUUAAAACAGAAUUUGGGUAGAGCCUCACAUUCGAAAAACAAAUUUGAACAUUGGAUUGGAAUUACCUUUUUCACAAGAUAUUCCCAG